This is a long non-coding RNA of Oncorhynchus gorbuscha (pink salmon), 1103 nucleotides long. RefSeq lists it as uncharacterized. The transcript is spliced from 3 exons. Lineage: Eukaryota; Metazoa; Chordata; Actinopteri; Salmoniformes; Salmonidae. The record is from RefSeq and is a predicted model, not a curated record.
GCUGGGUAAGUGUGUGACAAAUGUUUAGGAAAAUCCUCCUGGCUAACCAGAGAGCUAUGUAGUAAUGUUACUAUUUUGCUGAUACCUUUCCAGUUCUUUCAGAUUUUGCAAGAGGGACUCAACAAGGGUGUAGGAGAGGUGGCAAGGGAUUGGUUUGGAACCAGGCCCAGGAACCCCUCAGGCUAUCUGGAAGUGCUUCUUAAGAUUCAGACUCAGAUUCGCUCUUUGUCUUUUAUCUCUCUAUUGCUCUUUUUCAUCUUCAUCAUUUCCCCCUUUGGAAAAACUGCGUCCUGAUAGGAGUUUCUCUGUGUCUGUGUGUUUCAUUUGGUCCUUACCACCUGCCCUCCUCCUCCUACCGGGGCUGUCUUCCGUCCUGCCAGGUCUGUUUUCAAGCCUUUUAUCUUCUCUGAGUCUGUGACCCCAGUGUCGUGGGUGAUCUCCCCACAGUACGGCCCAGACGACCCGGUCAGGAAGCAGCCGCGCUUCCAGAGCCUAGUGGACCGCAGGCACGACCUGUACAAGGCCCAUGAGGGGGCCCUGCAGACUAUGGAGACCAACCCGGACGCAGGGAAUGCUCUGACUGAGACGUUGAGGAUGUUGGAGGGCCAGUGUCUGACGGACAUAUCAGCCCUGCUCAGUGGAGAAACACCAGCAGAAGAGGAACUGGGGGACCUGUUCUUUGACUGUGUGGACACGGAGCUGAAGUUCUACCAGUGAGGAGCGCCCUCAUGUGGAGAUCGCUAGUGCUCGCAGAUCGGCAGGAGAUGGCCCUGGGACUGUUUCGUCCUGUGCUCCUGUUAGAUUGGCUCCCUCCCGUCUCAUGCACUAGAACCCUCUUGAUGCCAUUCCAUCCAUCAUUGACACAGAAUAUAAAUGUCUUAACGUUCCAUGGGAUUGGAGCAUCAUUGUCAUUUGUAUCACUUUAGGGAGCAACGCUCGCCCCACAUUAGUGAGUAUGUGAUAGACCACUACAGGAGUGUACAGUUCCAGUCAAAAGUUUGGACACACCUACUCAUUCAAGUGCUUUUCUUGUUUGACUAUUUUCUACAUUGUAGAAUAAUAGUUAAGAUGUCAAAACUAUAAAAACACAUAUGGAGUCAUGU